Molecule: long non-coding RNA, 1230 nt
Organism: Oncorhynchus tshawytscha (Chinook salmon)
Lineage: Eukaryota; Metazoa; Chordata; Actinopteri; Salmoniformes; Salmonidae
Source: Ensembl
AUUCCUUUUAAACUUUUGUUGUUUAUUAUUGUCUUUCACUUUUGUUUAUUAUCUAUUAAGCCCUUUGAAUUGAAGAGAGAGAGAGUUGAUUUUAUCACCUGCUCGCUUAAGGUAUGACACCAGUCUUUGACCGAUACCCCCUGUACAUAGCCUCGCUAGUUAUUUUAUUGUUGCUCUUUAAUUAUUUGUUAUUUUUCUAUUUUCUUAUUUUCUUAUUUUUUACUUCAGUUUAUUUUAGUAAGUAAUUUUUAUUUUUCAUGAAACUGCAUUGCUUGUUAAGGGCUUGUAAGUAAGCAUUUCACUGUAAGGUCUACUUCACCUGUUGUACUCGGUACAUGUGACAAAUACAAUUUGAUUUGAUGAUUUGAUUGAAUAUGUACAGGGUUUUACAACCUUUGUCUGGAAUAAAAGCCAGCAAAUUAAACACUAAACAACAUCCUAUGACAAAGUCCAAAGGUGCCACCUCCCACUCCUACUGCUGGGUGUAAUCAUUAGUCCAAACAGUUCCAAAAAAAACCGAGAGAUUCUAUUGGACAGAUUAAGGUAGGUCCCGCCCUGUUUCGUUCCGUUUACGAAACGUUUCGCAACAGAAUCGGGAUAAUGACUACACCCCUGUUAACGCUAAUGUUCCCCUGGCGAAUUGUUUGCGGAAGUGGAAGCUUGAACAAUAAACAGUUCAAUUAAUAAUCUCUGUUGUAAUGCGAGAUACACUCAACUUAUUCAAUUAUCUCGUUAUUUGCGUCGUUGGUUUACAAUGAAUGUGUCAAAAAAUCAGCAACACACAUUGACGAGUAUUUAGUGAUUUAUUCUGCCCUCCCAAAACAACUGGAAACGCGUCCUACUACGUCGUCGUCAGCUGAGACAGGCGACAUGGCGACUUCAGCGGGCUUCAAGGUUCUAUAUGAGCAUGAUGGAGUUUUUAUACACACCAACCCAGAAAGGAGUGAGGAGCAGGACUCUCUGACUUCAGGAUCCCUGCGUGUCCUGGACCAGGAUGGAGACAUAGUGCUGGAAUAUAAACCCAUGGAAGAUGUUGACCACUCUGCCAUGCUGUGUGCUGCCAAGGUUAGACUUUAUUUACACAUCUUUUGAUGUAAUAUUCCAUGUUUCAGGUCAUCAUAAACAAAGUGUACACAUGUGCGUAUAUUCAAAUACUAACAAGAUUACUCUUAUCAAUCUUACUGGUACAUUCAUGUAGAAAAACUGUUGUCUGGUGCUGAUAAUACAGAC